This is a non-coding RNA of Myodes glareolus (Bank vole), 1095 nucleotides long. The record is from RefSeq and is a predicted model, not a curated record. Lineage: Eukaryota; Metazoa; Chordata; Mammalia; Rodentia; Cricetidae.
CCUGGGGAACAUAACAAGCAAGUCAGAGAUGCCCCUGAUGCUGAUGGAGUUCAGAAUCACGGGAAGAUUUAAGCAAGUCCAUGGCAGCAUUGUAGAGCGAAGAGACGGACCACCUAAAAUGCCUACAAUGGAUUUACCAUGCUCUUAGCCCAGCUGAUGCAGGGGCUGGCAGCAGCCCUCACUGAGCUUCAUGAGGAGUUCUACAUCCUGGGACCACAAUCAGAUGCCUGCAGAUGUAAUGAAGGUAAGUGGGCAUCCCCAAGACACAGAGGUAGAUGAGACUUAGAUUUUCUCCCUAGGAAAAGGGGCGAGCAUAACCUUUGUCAAAAGAAAGAUAAUUGGUGAUCAAAAAGUUAGAGGAAACUGGUUGCUCAGUAACCUACUUCCUUUUUUAAUUUUAAUUUUUAAGUUUCAUUUUGCAUUCCUUCCACAGUUUUGCCCCCUAGCCCUUCCUCCCAACCCCUUCCCCCAUCUACUCCACCAUCCACUUCUCCCAACAGGUAAGGGUUCCCAUAAAGUCUGGCACAUGAUGUUGGGGCAGGAGCAAGCCUCUCCCCCUGCAUUGAGGCUGAGCAUGGCAUCCCACCAUAGGGAAAGGGCUCAAGCACCAGGGAUAGAUCCUGGUCCUACAGUCAGGCUUCCUCUUCUUUAGCACCAAGCAUGUUUUCUUUGCCACACAGUUUCCACAUUGUCUGUGCAGUUAGUUCUCAUGGGUGACAUGUGAGUGACAAUGGGACAUUUCUUCCACUACAAGUCUUGUUACAGUGAAUGCAUUCUUUGGGAUCAGUGCCUCCAUCUCUGCCUGCUGUCUGAGUGACAUCAGGGCAACAUAGAAGUCACCCACUGAGAGUGCUGACUGCUCAGGAGGAGGUUAACCUGGGUUCUACUCUGGAAUGGAACAUGAUCAAGAAGGAAACUCACUGUCUGCAGCCACAGAGUUGCCAAAAAGCUUGUAAGAAUAACGAUGAAGCAACACUGAGCAUGGUAGAGUCACGCCCCGUCUAAGUUUCAUCCAUCGUUGUAUUGAUUUCAUCCUCCAAUCUCGAAUGGGAGGUAAGUGCUAUAGAAAGAGAUGUGUGUCCACUCCACAUGGGA